CAGAGGUGGUUGGCUGUGUUAGUCUCUGCUUAUUUUAUCUAUCUAAUCUAAAGCAGCUGUCUCUAUGGUUUGGGAUGGUGGUGGAGGAAGGGAGGAGGGGUAGCGGGCAAAGAACCUGAUUCCAUUGCAAUGCGAGUGGUGGGCUACCCCAAAUCUCUUGGGAUAGAGAAGAAGCAGAUGAGCUCCAGAAAAGUCUGCUGGGAAGCAGAUGACUACAGAGCCUGGGGCAGGCAGGCAGCAGCUCCAGGCAAAUGGAUUGGAUGCCAAUCCACCCCUGCCUUCUGCGCAGCUGUCGUAGUAUCUUACUGCCUGUUGAAAAUAGAAGAUGCAGCCAUUGGCAAUCUCUGACUUCCUCAGAAAUGGACUGUUCUGUGCUCAGGUAUUAAAUGUGGGGAUGACCUGGAAGAGUCGGUCCUGCCAGGGGAGAGUUUUCUUCUCUUGUAGAAAGGAGUAUUGUGCAAAUCUUAUUCAAGAUACUGAAAAGCGUUAGUGUUCACAUAUCCCAGCUAGUGUGUGCUAACUCCUCCAGGCUGUGUUUUUUUUUUUUUUUUUAUUGCCCUUUACUUUCUGUACUUAUAAAAGUUAGAGCCAGGUAACGUGUUACCUUUUUGAUUGAUUUGCAUUUUCACUCAGCUUGUGGUGGUAUCAACGACUGAACAAGGUGAAGACAAUGAAUGAUCAGGUCUCUUUGGUUUUGCUUUUUGUUCCUUAGCUGUGCCACAUUUGAGUCUAUUCCCCCUACCUGUUUCUUCCUCUGGUAGUCUUUAACCCAGUUUUUUCAAUAUAUGGGCAAUAACAUAAGUCUCUUUUAUUUGUAUGAUAUCACUCAGGAAAGUUAGAAAUGGAAGCAUUCCAGCUCUUUAAGACUUUGAGGCCACUGGGAAUUAUCUGAGUCUAUUACAGCUGUGAAUUCAAAUUUGGCAAGCUAUUAUCAUCUAUGAUUUGUAUUACAGUCAUGCCUAGAGGCGAGAAUCUCAUUGUGCUAGGCCUUGUUGAAACUGUAACAAAGGGACAGUCUCUGUGAUUCUGUCUCUGUACUUGAUUCAGGACUUAAAAUUUCUGCAACUGUUCAUUUAUCGAGUUUAUUAGCGGCUAUAGCACUUGAACCAUGUGGAUUCUUUGUCAAAUUUUGCACAAUCUUCUUAACACUUUCAUAUUCAAAUAGUGAUAGGUCCUAGAAACCCCAUUCAGGGAUUGUGGCCAUGUAAAAAAAAGAAGGUGGUCCUUACUUUAAAGAGCGUGCAGAUUUCAGUAUAAGAGAGACUACAGAUGAAUACAACAGAGGGGAGCAACAUAGCAAUGAAACCAUUAUGGUUAGCAUAACAAAUACUAUUUAUAGUACAUCGGGUGCCUAACCAUUGUUGAGUGUUAUGUAAGGAUGAGUUGUAAUGACACACGAAGGAGAAUAAUCUGGCAUUUUUUUGGCUGUUGAGAAGCUCUUCCUUUGCAUAGAGGACAACCUGGAAGAAGAUGCUAUGAUGCUGGAGGAGAAGAUGGACUGAUGGUAGAAAAACCAUUGGCAGAACUGAAUCCCAAACUGCUCCAGAUUCAUGUUGCUGUGGUUUUGACCAAUGCAUCUUCCUAUGUAAGAGAAGUUAAGAUCUCCCCGAUCUUCAAGAGGGACACAGACCCAUAAUGUAAAUCACAGACAUUUUCUAAUCAGUUUGGACUGGACAACAAGGGCAUGUCCAGAUGAGUGCGCAUGUGCAGUUCGUGGUGCCACAGACCGCAGGCAUUUGCAAGCAUGUUCAUUUGAAGUGCGGUGGGGUUUUUUGACGCUAGGAAAUCCCAGUCUCAAAAAAAAUCCAUGCCAAGAAAGGUGGGGUGGUGCAUGUGGCAGCAGUGUACUCUGCCGUGCUCUGGAUGCCGGUCAGGCUCUGAGCACCCAGAUCGCCACUGCUGGAGCCCAGGAGGCACCCAGGACUCCCGCUAAGGCUGCUGGAGCCAGUCCAGGUGCUGGCCCCAGCCUCCCCUACUCCACCCAGGGCAAUUUGCUGUGUGCCUGAGCAUGCAUGCAGGGGUGUUCCCUGGGGACAAGUAGCAGUGGCACAACUACGUGGCACUGCUAUUUGUCCCCAGGCAAAUGCAUGUGCAUGCUCAUCUGGACGCUCCCCAAGGUGUUAGCCAAAGGCUCUGUCCAGUCUCAUUCUGUAGCUAUUUCAACUAUAUCAAUCAGAUUUCAUAAAAGGGAGAUGUAAGAUUCAUUGGGUCAACAGGAGCUGAGUUCCUUACCCACGGGUAGCCUAUAGUCAGAUGAAGCGUUCGCAUGCAAGGUAAGAGAUGUGGGUUUGAACCCACUUAGGUUGAAGAGGGAAUUGAAACCAGAUUUUAAGUUGAAUGAAUGCUCGAAGGUUCUCCUCUAACAAAAAGCUGAGUAUAACCACUAGCAGCCCCUCUUUAAAGGAACGGGUGAGCCAGUUGCCUGUUGAAGAACUUAGGGCCUGAGUCCAGCAAAGUUUUUGGACUAUGAAUCAUCCUUUUCUGUAGGUGCCUCCCUGCAGUCCUGAGUUAGGUACCUAACCUCCGGUGGAGUGGGAUUUAUGACACACCCUUCUCUGCAGCAUUUGCUGCGGGCUAUUUUAGGCAGUCACUUGUCCGAUUCCCAUGCUGAAGUCCCUGCCUCUACCCGUGCAUUGUGCGGGGAGCUCAGCUCUUCCCUUUCAGCAUGGAACAUGCCUGGGCUGGCAACUCUCAAUGCUGCACUUUGAUAUAUCUGUCAAGAGCCCUUGCAAGCCCUGAAACACAGAACUUGCUUCAACCCAUCCAGGGUGCUUAAACAUUCAUUGAAAAAUUCCCCCAAAUUUAGGGGCCUCCCAUAAGACAAACCUUGAAUAAAUUCGGGCAUUUUAACUGCUUGCAGCUCACAGUCAUCCUAAUCCUUAAACCAUUCCUUGCAUUCUUCUCUUUCCCCCUUAUAACCCACAUACCUUAGGCACUUGCGUGCUCAAUCACAAUUUUUUUCCUUUUUCCUUCCUAUUUCUUUUUUUUUUCUUUUACAGUUUGAUAUAAGUGAGGAUGCAGAUAACUUAAUUUAGAAUCCAGGUGUUAAUUUACUACCUUUAUUUAGUGCCCGUUUGCUGUUCCUUUUCUCCUCUCUGCAUUUGAGUCUACUUGGCAAUAAUAAAAGAAAAUUCCAUUUGCUUCCCUUAAUAUUCUGGUUGUCUGGCUUCUCCACUCAUUGUUAGCUGAUCCCAUGAUAAGAUUUAUGUCCUGCCAUCUGAUCCUUUUGUAUGAAUCCAGUUUACAGCUAUAAGGAUUAUAACUGUAUUGUCCUUGGAUUGCAAGCUCGUCUCUGUUGGAGGCAAAUAAAAACAUUUGUUUGCAAACCAAAUGCAUCAAGAAAUGUCCAUGUCUUGCUUCAGCUGUGUAACUUGCUUCCUAGUAGUUUGCAAACAUCAGUGUUAAUUUUAGCCUGGUAAGGCAACAGU
Long non-coding RNA from Alligator mississippiensis (American alligator), 3428 nucleotides. RefSeq lists it as uncharacterized. NCBI's taxonomy places the organism in Eukaryota, Metazoa, Chordata, Crocodylia, Alligatoridae. The transcript has 3 exons. The record is from RefSeq and is a predicted model, not a curated record.